Molecule: ribosomal RNA, 261 nt
Filed under: uncultured Lactobacillus sp.
Lineage: Bacteria; Bacillati; Bacillota; Bacilli; Lactobacillales; Lactobacillaceae
Description: partial 16S ribosomal RNA
Rfam family: Bacterial small subunit ribosomal RNA
Source: RNAcentral
CGGGGUGAGUAACACGUGGGCAACCUGCCCUGAAGCGGGGGAUAACAUCUGGAAACAGGUGCUAAUACCGCAUAACAACGAAAACCACAUGGUUUUCGUUUCAAAGAUGGUUUCGGCUAUCACUUCAGGAUGGGCCCGCGGUGCAUUAGCUAGUUGGUAAGGUAACGGCUUACCAAGGCAAUGAUGCAUAGCCGAGUUGAGAGACUGAUCGGCCACAAUGGAACUGAGACACGGUCCAUACUCCUACGGGAGGCAGCAGGC